CUUUUAUCAUCAUUUCAUUUAUGCCUGUUAGCAUGAAAAAAGAGGCUGAGAAGGGAAGAUGGUGACAAGG
This 70-nucleotide microRNA precursor is filed under the name Pan troglodytes (chimpanzee). RNAcentral describes it as "miRNA". The record is from RNAcentral. Lineage: Eukaryota; Metazoa; Chordata; Mammalia; Primates; Hominidae.